Molecule: ribosomal RNA, 405 nt
Filed under: uncultured bacterium
Lineage: Bacteria
Description: partial 16S ribosomal RNA
Rfam family: Bacterial small subunit ribosomal RNA
Source: RNAcentral
GACGAACGCUGGCGGCGUGCUUAACACAUGCAAGUCGAGCGGAGCGGCGAACGGGUGAGUAAAGCGCGAGUAACUGCCCCCCUCCCUGGGAUAACAGUUGGAAACGGCUGCUAAUACCGGAUAGUGGGGGAUGACUCGCGUCCUAUCAGCUUGUUGGGGGGGUAGUGGCCUACCAAGGGGACGAGGGGUAGCCGGCCUGAGAGGGGGACCAGCCACAUUGGGCUGAGGUACGGCCCAGACGCCUACGGGAGGCAGCGGUGGGGAGUAUUGCACAAUGGGGCAAACCGUGUUGCAGCAGCGCCGCGUGCGGAAUGACGGCCUUCGGGUUGUGAACCGCUUUCAGCCAUGACGCGGUAGUGGCAGAAGAAGCACCGGCUAACUACGUGCCAGCCGCCGCGGUAAUUC